This is a long non-coding RNA of Diospyros lotus (date-plum), 831 nucleotides long. RefSeq lists it as uncharacterized. The record is from RefSeq and is a predicted model, not a curated record. NCBI's taxonomy places the organism in Eukaryota, Viridiplantae, Streptophyta, Magnoliopsida, Ericales, Ebenaceae. The transcript has 2 exons.
GAGUCCAUGGUGGCCCAAAAAAUUAAUAUGAUUUUCGCGGCCUUGGGCUCCACUCUCAUUGAUGCUGCCGGAGUCCGAUCUUGCUCGCCGUCGGCCAGUGAGUUCUCUAGGACUCUCUCAUCCCUCGUCUCCCCUGCUCCGAUGGGUUCUCUAUUUCUCAUAUUUAUACUUCUUCGUUCUCUCUUCCACGGUCAGUUUUCCCCUUCUUUGAUCUCCUCCGCUAUAUAUUGUAUAAUGGGUGUUUUUUGUUGUUGUUGUUGUUGCGGCGGCUGUGGCUUAAUCUUGGGUUCCAUCUGUUGGUUAUGGCUGGGUGUGGAUUUGGCUUUGCUUGUUCCGUCCUCCGUCGUGACCCUGUGAUCCAAGACAACGCCCAUCUCCUGGCAACUAACCCUGUCAUUGAUCCCCGAAAGAGAGGCCAGGAUCAUGUAGCUGCCAUUCAAUAUUGCUCGACUCUCCUGUUGGUCCCUUGGGCCCUCUCGUUGCAAUUGCAUCAACUCUAGUCAAUCUUGAUGAAUCUUGCAUGCAGUCCAUCUUCUGCAGGUGGCUCUGUGGCUACGGAUCAAGGUUCUUCAGGGGGACAAGGGGAAAAGGAUUGUUUCUAUACUAUAGUAUUGGACAUGAAUGCUAUCCUUUUCUCCCUCUUUUCUUUUCUGAAGGUGUUGCAAAUAUUCGUUCAGAUACCUUAUAUAUUGUAAUGGAUGUUGAAUGUCUCUGAAUCCUUGAAUAUUUUAUUCUUUGAGGUAGCUGCUGCUUGUCUGAUGAAUACCAACAUGUAAUCCUAGUAGUUGAAUACCUCACAUUUAAAUACAGCUACAGGGCAUAAUUGGAAUC